Molecule: long non-coding RNA, 1055 nt
Filed under: Heterocephalus glaber (naked mole-rat)
Lineage: Eukaryota; Metazoa; Chordata; Mammalia; Rodentia; Bathyergidae
Description: lncRNA (ENSHGLG00000036398.1)
Source: RNAcentral
CAUUCAUUCACUGAUUUGUACACAAGCAUGUGCUGGGCUUGUGAGGUUGGUUGUGAUUAUCUGCUCAUCCAUUCAUUCGCCCAUUCACUUUGAUUGGGAGAGUGGCGUGUGUAAGAAUUACCCCAGCCAGCCAUGCUCUGGCCUGUAAAUAUGAGUGGAGACCCAGUCCCUGCCCCGGUGUAGCUCGGAUCCAGGCUCAGAGGCGCUGUGUACAAGGAGCGGGGACACCUGACCCAGCCUGGAGGGGCGCCCGGCCUGGGCCACUGCAUUGCAGGUGACUUGUGCUUGGGCCGGGCCGGGCUCUGGCUGCUGCUGCUGCUGCCGGGCUCAGUGGCCCAGGCCUGAGGGUCACCAUGGACCAGGCCGCCCAGGGGACCCCACCUAACGCCACAGCCAGCAGCCGUGGCCAGGACACCAGGCCCUGGGGGACAUCGGGGGACAUGGAGGUGCCACUGGGACCCCUGGAGCUCCGCCUCUGGGGUGUGGAGAACCCGCCUUCAGGUGACAGCUGCAACAGGCCCCUCGGAGGCCCAGGGACGGUGAGGAGGAGACAGUGGGGCUGAGCACUGGGAACAAGGCUGAGCCCAGGACACCCCUGGGGAUUAGGGCAGGGCCAGAGCGGGGACCCCCUCUGUGACCGACCACCAGGCUUCGGGUUGGGUCAAGCUGAGGUGCAGCUGGAUGCAGUGGAUGGAGGGGACAAGGGGAAUGGAGGGGGGGCAGAGACUCAGAGGAGACCAGAGCCACAGGGAAGGAGACACGAAGUGGGAGACCGCAGGCUGCAGCCUUUUUGAGGUGGAAUCACACAGCCCUGGGCGGCAGACAGGGAGGUGGAGGCUGGGAGAGGAGGGGAGACCAGCCCCACCCGCAGUGCUCUGGGGAGGACAGGAAUGGAAGGGGGUGGUCCGGGGCAGGGAGCAAGGCGGGGCCCAAGAGGACAGAGACAGCCGAGGGGCAGGGGCAGAUGGGGCACUACACGGUGGGCAACAGGGACCACCCUAUCUUGGGAGUGACCUGGCCAUGACACAGAGACAACCACAGGACGAGGCACAAAC